UCGAGUGGCGAACGGGUGAGUAACACGUGGGUGAUCUGCCCUGCACUUUGGGAUAAGCCUGGGAAACUGGGUCUAAUACCGAAUAGGACCGCAUGCUUCAUGGUGUGUGGUGGAAAGCUUUUGCGGUGUGGGAUGGGCCCGCGGCCUAUCAGCUUGUUGGUGAGGUAAUGGCUUACCAAGGCGACGACGGGUAGCCGGCCUGAGAGGGUGACCGGCCACACUGGGACUGAGAUACGGCCCAGACUCCUACGGGAGGCAGCAGUGGGGAAUAUUGCACAAUGGGCGCAAGCCUGAUGCAGCGACGCCGCGUGAGGGAUGACGGCCUUCGGGUUGUAAACCUCUUUCGCCAGGGACGAAGCGCAAGUGACGGUACCUGGAGAAGAAGGACCGGCCAACUACGUGCCAGCAGCCGCGGUAAUACGUAGGGUCCGAGCGUUGUCCGGAAUUACUGGGCGUAAAGAGCUCGUAGGUGGUUUGUCGCGUUGUUCGUGAAAACUCACAGCUUAACUGUGGGCGUGCGGGCGAUACGGGCAGACUUGAGUACUGCAGGGGAGACUGGAAUUCCUGGUGUAGCGGUGGAAUGCGCAGAUAUCAGGAGGAACACCGGUGGCGAAGGCGGGUCUCUGGGCAGUAACUGACGCUGAGGAGCGAAAGCGUGGGGAGCGAACAGGAUUAGAUACCCUGGUAGUCCACGCCGUAAACGGUGGGUACUAGGUGUGGGUUUCCUUCCUUGGGAUCCGUGCCGUAGCUAACGCAUUAAGUACCCCGCCUGGGGAGUACGGCCGCAAGGCUAAAACUCAAAGAAAUUGACGGGGGCCCGCACAAGCGGCGGAGCAUGUGGAUUAAUUCGAUGCAACGCGAAGAACCUUACCUGGGUUUGACAUGCACAGGACGCCGGCAGAGAUGUCGGUUCCCUUGUGGCCUGUGUGCAGGUGGUGCAUGGCUGUCGUCAGCUCGUGUCGUGAGAUGUUGGGUUAAGUCCCGCAACGAGCGCAACCCUUGUCUCAUGUUGCCAGCACGUUAUGGUGGGGACUCGUGAGAGACUGCCGGGGUCAACUCGGAGGAAGGUGGGGAUGACGUCAAGUCAUCAUGCCCCUUAUGUCCAGGGCUUCACACAUGCUACAAUGGCCGGUACAAAGGGCUGCGAUGCCGUGAGGUGGAGCGAAUCCUUUCAAAGCCGGUCUCAGUUCGGAUCGGGGUCUGCAACUCGACCCCGUGAAGUCGGAGUCGCUAGUAAUCGCAGAUCAGCAACGCUGCGGUGAAUACGUUCCCGGGCCUUGUACACACCGCCCGUCACGUCAUGAAAGUCGGUAACACCCGA
RNAcentral lists this ribosomal RNA (1321 nucleotides) under Mycolicibacterium gilvum. Its description in RNAcentral is "Mycobacterium gilvum 16S ribosomal RNA". It matches the Rfam family "Bacterial small subunit ribosomal RNA", at positions 91 to 1424 of the family's 1533-position model. Lineage: Bacteria; Bacillati; Actinomycetota; Actinomycetes; Mycobacteriales; Mycobacteriaceae. The record is from RNAcentral.